RNAcentral lists this ribosomal RNA (2900 nucleotides) under Escherichia coli. Its description in RNAcentral is "bacterial LSU rRNA". It matches the Rfam family "Bacterial large subunit ribosomal RNA". The record is from RNAcentral. Lineage: Bacteria; Pseudomonadati; Pseudomonadota; Gammaproteobacteria; Enterobacterales; Enterobacteriaceae.
UUAAGCGACUAAGCGUACACGGUGGAUGCCCUGGCAGUCAGAGGCGAUGAAGGACGUGCUAAUCUGCGAUAAGCGUCGGUAAGGUGAUAUGAACCGUUAUAACCGGCGAUUUCCGAAUGGGGAAACCCAGUGUGAUUCGUCACACUAUCAUUAACUGAAUCCAUAGGUUAAUGAGGCGAACCGGGGGAACUGAAACAUCUAAGUACCCCGAGGAAAAGAAAUCAACCGAGAUUCCCCCAGUAGCGGCGAGCGAACGGGGAGCAGCCCAGAGCCUGAAUCAGUGUGUGUGUUAGUGGAAGCGUCUGGAAAGGCGCGCGAUACAGGGUGACAGCCCCGUACACAAAAAUGCACAUGCUGUGAGCUCGAUGAGUAGGGCGGGACACGUGGUAUCCUGUCUGAAUAUGGGGGGACCAUCCUCCAAGGCUAAAUACUCCUGACUGACCGAUAGUGAACCAGUACCGUGAGGGAAAGGCGAAAAGAACCCCGGCGAGGGGAGUGAAAAAGAACCUGAAACCGUGUACGUACAAGCAGUGGGAGCACGCUUAGGCGUGUGACUGCGUACCUUUUGUAUAAUGGGUCAGCGACUUAUAUUCUGUAGCAAGGUUAACCGAAUAGGGGAGCCGAAGGGAAACCGAGUCUUAACUGGGCGUUAAGUUGCAGGGUAUAGACCCGAAACCCGGUGAUCUAGCCAUGGGCAGGUUGAAGGUUGGGUAACACUAACUGGAGGACCGAACCGACUAAUGUUGAAAAAUUAGCGGAUGACUUGUGGCUGGGGGUGAAAGGCCAAUCAAACCGGGAGAUAGCUGGUUCUCCCCGAAAGCUAUUUAGGUAGCGCCUCGUGAAUUCAUCUCCGGGGGUAGAGCACUGUUUCGGCAAGGGGGUCAUCCCGACUUACCAACCCGAUGCAAACUGCGAAUACCGGAGAAUGUUAUCACGGGAGACACACGGCGGGUGCUAACGUCCGUCGUGAAGAGGGAAACAACCCAGACCGCCAGCUAAGGUCCCAAAGUCAUGGUUAAGUGGGAAACGAUGUGGGAAGGCCCAGACAGCCAGGAUGUUGGCUUAGAAGCAGCCAUCAUUUAAAGAAAGCGUAAUAGCUCACUGGUCGAGUCGGCCUGCGCGGAAGAUGUAACGGGGCUAAACCAUGCACCGAAGCUGCGGCAGCGACACUAUGUGUUGUUGGGUAGGGGAGCGUUCUGUAAGCCUGUGAAGGUGUACUGUGAGGUAUGCUGGAGGUAUCAGAAGUGCGAAUGCUGACAUAAGUAACGAUAAAGCGGGUGAAAAGCCCGCUCGCCGGAAGACCAAGGGUUCCUGUCCAACGUUAAUCGGGGCAGGGUGAGUCGACCCCUAAGGCGAGGCCGAAAGGCGUAGUCGAUGGGAAACAGGUUAAUAUUCCUGUACUUGGUGUUACUGCGAAGGGGGGACGGAGAAGGCUAUGUUGGCCGGGCGACGGUUGUCCCGGUUUAAGCGUGUAGGCUGGUUUUCCAGGCAAAUCCGGAAAAUCAAGGCUGAGGCGUGAUGACGAGGCACUACGGUGCUGAAGCAACAAAUGCCCUGCUUCCAGGAAAAGCCUCUAAGCAUCAGGUAACAUCAAAUCGUACCCCAAACCGACACAGGUGGUCAGGUAGAGAAUACCAAGGCGCUUGAGAGAACUCGGGUGAAGGAACUAGGCAAAAUGGUGCCGUAACUUCGGGAGAAGGCACGCUGAUAUGUAGGUGAAGUCCCUCGCGGAUGGAGCUGAAAUCAGUCGAAGAUACCAGCUGGCUGCAACUGUUUAUUAAAAACACAGCACUGUGCAAACACGAAAGUGGACGUAUACGGUGUGACGCCUGCCCGGUGCCGGAAGGUUAAUUGAUGGGGUCAGCGCAAGCGAAGCUCUUGAUCGAAGCCCCGGUAAACGGCGGCCGUAACUAUAACGGUCCUAAGGUAGCGAAAUUCCUUGUCGGGUAAGUUCCGACCUGCACGAAUGGCGUAAUGAUGGCCAGGCUGUCUCCACCCGAGACUCAGUGAAAUUGAACUCGCUGUGAAGAUGCAGUGUACCCGCGGCAAGACGGAAAGACCCCGUGAACCUUUACUAUAGCUUGACACUGAACAUUGAGCCUUGAUGUGUAGGAUAGGUGGGAGGCUUUGAAGUGUGGACGCCAGUCUGCAUGGAGCCGACCUUGAAAUACCACCCUUUAAUGUUUGAUGUUCUAACGUGGACCCGUAAUCCGGGUUGCGGACAGUGUCUGGUGGGUAGUUUGACUGGGGCGGUCUCCUCCUAAAGAGUAACGGAGGAGCACGAAGGUUGGCUAAUCCUGGUCGGACAUCAGGAGGUUAGUGCAAUGGCAUAAGCCAGCUUGACUGCGAGCGUGACGGCGCGAGCAGGUGCGAAAGCAGGUCAUAGUGAUCCGGUGGUUCUGAAUGGAAGGGCCAUCGCUCAACGGAUAAAAGGUACUCCGGGGAUAACAGGCUGAUACCGCCCAAGAGUUCAUAUCGACGGCGGUGUUUGGCACCUCGAUGUCGGCUCAUCACAUCCUGGGGCUGAAGUAGGUCCCAAGGGUAUGGCUGUUCGCCAUUUAAAGUGGUACGCGAGCUGGGUUUAGAACGUCGUGAGACAGUUCGGUCCCUAUCUGCCGUGGGCGCUGGAGAACUGAGGGGGCUGCUCCUAGUACGAGAGGACCGGAGUGGACGCAUCACUGGUGUUCGGGUUGUCAUGCCAAUGGCACUGCCCGGUAGCUAAAUGCGGAAGAGAUAAGUGCUGAAAGCAUCUAAGCACGAAACUUGCCCCGAGAUGAGUUCUCCCUGACUCCUUGAGAGUCCUGAAGGAACGUUGAAGACGACGACGUUGAUAGGCCGGGUGUGUAAGCGCAGCGAUGCGUUGAGCUAACCGGUACUAAUGAACCGUGAGGCUUAACCUU